RNAcentral lists this ribosomal RNA (274 nucleotides) under uncultured bacterium. RNAcentral describes it as "partial 16S ribosomal RNA". It matches the Rfam family "Bacterial small subunit ribosomal RNA", at positions 523 to 796 of the family's 1533-position model. The record is from RNAcentral.
AUACGGAGGGUGCAAGCGUUAUCCGGAAUCAUUGGGUUUAAAGGGUCCGCAGGCGGAUUAAUAAGUCAGUGGUGAAAUCCUCUCGCUUAACGAGAGAACUGCCAUUGAAACUGUUAGUCUUGAAUUCGGUCGAAGUAGGCGGAAUGUGUCAAGUAGCGGUGAAAUGCAUAGAUAUGACACAGAACACCGAUAGCGAAGGCAGCUUACUAGACCUGGAUUGACGCUCAUGGACGAAAGCGUGGGGAGCGAACAGGAUUAGAAACCCUAGUAGUCC